UAGAAAACUCACAGUCUUGGGAAA
Molecule: non-coding RNA, 24 nt
Filed under: Mus musculus (house mouse)
Lineage: Eukaryota; Metazoa; Chordata; Mammalia; Rodentia; Muridae
Source: RNAcentral